Magallana angulata is the source of this 346-nucleotide long non-coding RNA. RefSeq lists it as uncharacterized. Lineage: Eukaryota; Metazoa; Mollusca; Bivalvia; Ostreida; Ostreidae. The record is from RefSeq and is a predicted model, not a curated record. The transcript is spliced from 3 exons.
CAAAUAUGAAUGUUGUCCAAACAGUAUCGUUGUUUGGUCAUUAUGUGAGAUUCAACCUUGUAGAAGAUAAAGACCAAAAGAGAAGCACCGCUUGUGAAAUGCCUUCGGAAUCGGGAACGGAGGAUUCUGGCGCUGAAUCUGAUAUGCCUUCCACUUCGCCUGCCUCCUGAUGUCUUUUCCCAGCUACAUGCAUUUCCAGAUCCAGUUCCAGGAGAGGAUGGACAUUAAAAGGGGUUUGAAGAAGUCUAUGGUACAGAUACCACAGAAGAGUAUCGUCCUUCACUACAGCAAAAAGUGCCAGGGCUUGCUGCAAACAGUCAUGGCAUACCCUUUGCUCCUUCUGCUC